This 45-nucleotide non-coding RNA is filed under the name Schistosoma margrebowiei. The record is from RNAcentral. Lineage: Eukaryota; Metazoa; Platyhelminthes; Trematoda; Strigeidida; Schistosomatidae.
AUUCAUCCGAGGAGUCCCGAAAAGGACGAAACGCGCUUCCUGGAU